Molecule: long non-coding RNA, 837 nt
Organism: Marmota flaviventris (yellow-bellied marmot)
Lineage: Eukaryota; Metazoa; Chordata; Mammalia; Rodentia; Sciuridae
Source: RefSeq, a predicted model, not a curated record
UUUGUUCCUAUUUUUACCAUCUGCAACUCUGUUUUAAAGUGUGGGUUCCCUGAACAUCUCCAAGAGGGUUGGGAGGUCACCUCUUAACCCAGGACUCUUCUCAGUCUGAGAAAAUCUGACAGCUGCUCUGAUAUUUGGUUGGAGGCUUUGAAAGAGUCAUAGGAAUCAUCAUAAUAAUUCUGAACUCUUUCAUCUGAAGAUCUCAAAGACCUGCAUAAACAUUAAUUAUUCUCAUAGCACUGCUUGGAGUCUAGUUAAUAUGGGGAAACCGACCCCACCCCCCAUACAUCUGACAGCAGGAACUCAAGACAGGACAGCCAGCUCUGUUAGAAGCUUUGGGGCUCCAUAUUUACCCAGAUGCCAGAGUAUCCAGAGUCCUCUGAAAAUGAAAACUGCUCUUUCCAAAAGAAUCAAGCUGCCAUUUUGCCCCAGUACUUAUGGAGAAGCCCGGUUGGCAAGGAACUGUGAGCAACCUCUUAGAGCUAAAAGCAGUGCCUAGCCCACAGUCAUUGAAAAACUGGAUUCCUGGUCUUACAGCAUCAAGGAACUCAAUUCUGCCAACAAUCUGCAUCUGGAAGCUCAUCUACCACUAGUCAGGUCUCCCCAUAUGGAACUGAGCCCUGGCCCACACCAUGAAGACACCUUUGCAAGGAGUGAGUCUGCUCAUGACCAAUCUCCUCACCCACAGGAUGUGGGUGUUGUUUUAAGCCACUGAGUUUAUGGCAAUUUGUUGUGUAUCAUGGAAGACAAACACACUCAUUCCCUUGUCUUGUAAGCCUCCAAUCUGAGUAAGGUGGCCUCAGCUCCCCACCUUUUCUUUUUAUAACCUUUAAUGUA